This is a long non-coding RNA of Tribolium castaneum (red flour beetle), 687 nucleotides long. RefSeq lists it as uncharacterized. The record is from RefSeq and is a predicted model, not a curated record. The transcript is spliced from 2 exons. NCBI's taxonomy places the organism in Eukaryota, Metazoa, Arthropoda, Insecta, Coleoptera, Tenebrionidae.
UCGACGAUGCCGACUGUCGAAUUCACAUCUAUGCACACUUGUUGCUUCCGACGGGCCUCGCUGGAGGGACAGACACGCGUGCAAACUCGUACUCGCGUUCCGUGGUACUGAACAGUGGGCUGUGUACCCGCCAUACCUGUUUCAGGUUUCAUACUACACUAAAAAUAUACCACGGACGUUUUAUGACAGCCGCUGGAACAAUAACUAAUGCAUAGGUUACAUUUUUAUUGGCUUGUGCUAGCAUUUACUAUUGCCGAUCACGUUUGCUGAAAGGUAUGCCACUUCCAAGGAGUACUCACACCAAAGCUCUCCUCUAAGCUCGAAAAACACUCUUUCAGGAAAGCACCUUUUCAGCUUAACUAAGCACUAUUCGAUCUAUCUACUCAAAUUUUUCUUGUCUUUAGAAAUUUAGUUAAUAGAAACAAAGGCACAAAGACUUUUAUCAUAUAUGUAAACGGAAGCAAUUUUUGAAGAACCUGCAGGAUUAAUGGGAGGACAUGAAACAAACGAUUGUUGCAAUUGCAUCUCAUGGUAUGACAACAUCAAUGUCACCUGUCCGUCACUGUUUUAUUUACAUUUGUAAUCAUGAGUUAAAGGUUUCAUGAAUGAUUUCUGCCCAUUCCUAACGGUUAUCCGUUACUUAUAUUCUGUAAAAAUUUACGUUUGAAAAUAAAUAUUAUUCAACAA